RNAcentral lists this ribosomal RNA (301 nucleotides) under uncultured bacterium. Its description in RNAcentral is "partial 16S ribosomal RNA". It matches the Rfam family "Bacterial small subunit ribosomal RNA", at positions 509 to 807 of the family's 1533-position model. The record is from RNAcentral.
CAGUAGCCACGGGAAUACGGAGGGGGCUAGCGUUGUUCGGAAUUACUGGGCGUAAAGCGCACGUAGGCGGCUUUGUAAGUUAGAGGUGAAAGCCCGGAGCUCAACUCCGGAAUUGCCUUUAAGACUGCAGAGCUAGCAGGUGAGAGAGGUGAGUGGAAUUCCGAGUGUAGAGGUGAAAUUCGUAGAUAUUCGGAAGAACACCAGUGGCGAAGGCGGCUCACUGGCUCAUACUGGACGCUGAGGUGCGAAAGCGUGGGGAGCAAACAGGAUUAGAUACCCCGGUAGUCCCUGUCUCUUAUAC